This 883-nucleotide ribosomal RNA is filed under the name uncultured bacterium. RNAcentral's name for it is "bacterial SSU rRNA". It matches the Rfam family "Bacterial small subunit ribosomal RNA", at positions 26 to 896 of the family's 1533-position model. The record is from RNAcentral.
AGAUUGAACGCUGGCGGCAGGCCUAACACAUGCAAGUCGAGCGGAAACAGAGAGUAACUUGUUACUUUGCUGUCGAGCGGCGGACGGGUGAGUAAUGCUUGGGAAACUGCCCAGUCGAGGGGGACAACCAUUGGAAACGAUGGCUAAUACCGCAUACGCCCUACGGGGGAAAGAAGGGGACUCUUCGGAGCCUUUCGCGAUUGGAUGUGCCCAAGUGGGAUUAGCUAGUUGGUGAGGUAAAGGCUCACCAAGGCGACGAUCCCUAGCUGGUUUGAGAGGAUGAUCAGCCACACUGGAACUGAGACACGGUCCAGACUCCUACGGGAGGCAGCAGUGGGGAAUAUUGCACAAUGGGCGCAAGCCUGAUGCAGCCAUGCCGCGUGUAUGAAGAAGGCCUUCGGGUUGUAAAGUACUUUCAGCGAGGAGGAAAGGGUAUAGCUUAAUACGCUGUAUCUGUGACGUUACUCGCAGAAGAGGGACCGGCUAACUCCGUGCCAGCAGCCGCGGUAAUACGGAGGGUCCGAGCGUUAAUCGGAAUUACUGGGCGUAAAGCGUACGCAGGCGGUUUGUUAAGCGAGAUGUGAAAGCCCCGGGCUCAACCUGGGAACUGCAUUUCGAACUGACAAACUAGAGUUUUGUAGAGGGUGGUAGAAUUUCAGGUGUAGCGGUGAAAUGCGUAGAGAUCUGAAGGAAUACCAGUGGCGAAGGCGGCCACCUGGACAAUAACUGWCKYUCAUGUACGAAMGCGUGGGGAGCMAACGGKAUUAKAUACCCCGGUAGUCCWCGCCGUAMACGAUGYCAACUAGCCGACUGGCGCCUUGAGCGCUGGGUGGCGCAGCUAACGCAUUAAGUUGACCGCCUGGGGAGUACGGCCGCAAGGUUA